UUUUGUUGUGCAAGUCGACCGAUAAUGCACUAUAAAUAUAUUUCAUUCUGCCCUCAUUUCCACACCUCAGACUUCUAAAAUCCUUGAAAAAAUGGAUUUCUACUAUUCAAUAAAAGAUUUUCUAGCAAUUACCCUAGCCAUAUUUCUCAUCGGAACCUCGCCCGGACAAGUUUCCGGCCAGAACUGCGGCUGUUCACAGGAUUUAUGCUGCAGCCAAUAUGGUUAUUGUGGCACCGGCAAUGACUACUGUGGCAGAGGGUGCCAAGGUGGCCCUUGCUAUGCUCCGCCAAGUAGUAAUGGAGUUUCGGUUCCUAAUAUCGUGACGGAUGCAUUUUUCAAUGGCAUUGCUGAUCAAGCUGCCUCAGAUUGUGCCGGCAAAGGAUUCUACACUAGAGCGGCAUUUCUUGAAGCUCUCGGUUUUUAUCAACAAUUCGGGACCGUUGGUUCUGUAGAUGAUUCUAAGCGCGAAAUUGCUGCAUUCUUCGCACACGUUACACAUGAAACUGGACGUAAGUUUUCCAAGAUGUCUUAUCUGAAUCGACUUCAUGAAUUUUUAUUAUUAUUAAUUUUUUUGGAACUUCAUUACUAUCAUUUUGUUCAAAAGUUAUAGCCAAUAAAUAAUUUGGUCAAGAUUGUAACAUUAGCCUAUAUAAUGUAUUGACCAAUUAAAUAAUUUAUUUUCCUUUGAAUAGUCAGGCACACCAUAAUAACACACUUUUUUAGAGGCAGAUUUGUCUUCCUACGCGUUGACUUUAUUUCAUACCAAUGAUUGAUAGCUUUAUUUAUAAAAUAGGGCUUAAGUUUUUAACACAAAAAUUGGUUUCUUUUUGCAGAUUUAUGCUAUAUAGAAGAAAUAAAUGGUCCAUCUAGAGAUUAUUGUGACGAGAAUAACACACAAUAUCCAUGUGCUCCCGGCAAGGGAUAUUACGGACGAGGUCCUAUACAACUAUCGUGGAACUUCAACUACGGACCAGCAGGGAAUAGCAUAGGGUUUGAUGGUUUGAACAAUCCAGAAGUUGUAGCCACAGAUGGCGUAGUGUCAUUCAGGACUGCUCUCUGGUUUUGGAUGAAUAAUUGUCAUGAUAGUAUAACUUCGGGUCAAGGUUUUGGGGCUACCAUUCGGGCUAUUAACGGUGCCCUUGAAUGCGAUGGAGCUAAUCCAGGCACGGUUAAUACUCGAGUUGGGUAUUACAGAGACUACUGCGAUCAACUUCAAGUUGAUCCCGGCAAUAAUUUGACGUGCUAACCAGUGAACCCUGUCGUUUCUCGAGGAACAUUAUAGUAUUGUUGAUUGAUCAAAUAACUGUACAAGCAGUUUAUUUGCUUGCUUAUUUGUUGUCCUAUGUAUUGUAGACAUCGUGUUAAUGUAUGAUUUUAAGAUAUUAUUUUUGUUGGUAACUAAUAAGAAUUGUGUUCGUGCCUUUUCAAGCCCUAUCAGAAUAUUAAAUUGACGUGCUCCCUGGAAAUUUCUGAGGGAACUCUAUUUUUCAUUUGGUAACCUUCUCUCUACAUUUUCAUAAUUUGUAAGCUGCUUCAACGGAAACGAAAAGCAACACAACUAGUAAGUUCCCAAAAUUUUGUUAAGUGAAAUAUUUGUCCGAA
Molecule: long non-coding RNA, 1602 nt
Filed under: Olea europaea subsp. europaea
Lineage: Eukaryota; Viridiplantae; Streptophyta; Magnoliopsida; Lamiales; Oleaceae
Source: RNAcentral